RNAcentral lists this ribosomal RNA (497 nucleotides) under uncultured bacterium. RNAcentral describes it as "partial 16S ribosomal RNA". It matches the Rfam family "Bacterial small subunit ribosomal RNA", at positions 28 to 507 of the family's 1533-position model. The record is from RNAcentral.
GAUGAACGCUGGCGGCGUGCCUAAUACAUGCAAGUCGAGCGGACGGACGAGGAGCUUGCUGCUCGGAUGUUAGCGGCGGACGGGAGAAUAACACGUGGAUAACCUACCUAAAAGACUGGUAUAACUUCGGGAAACCGGAGCUAAUACCGUAUAAGAUUUUGAAGCGCAUGGUUCGAAAGUGAAAGACGGUCGUUCUGUCACGUAUAGAGGGAUCCGCGCUUGAUUAGCUAGUUGUUAAGGUAACAGCUUACUAAGGCAACGAUGCAUAACCGACCUGAGAGGGGGAUAGCCCACCUUGGAACGGAGCCAGGGUCCAGACUACUACGGGAGGCCGCAGUCGGGAACCUUCCGCAACGGGCGAAAGCCUGACGGAGCAACGCGGCGUGAGUGAUGAAGGUCUUCGGAUCGUAAAAAUCUGUUACUAGGGAAGAACCGCUGUCUCAGUAACUGUGCCCAUCUUGACGGUAACUAAUCAGAAAGCAACGGCUAGCUACGUG